UCUCCCUCUCCACGCACACGCGCUCUGACAGCCGCCACGGCACCCUCCCCCUCCCCCGUUCGUGUCGCCGACGCCCACCGGCGCUCCGUCUCCCCUGCUCCGGAUCCAGGCCGUCGCCACCCGCCGUCGCCACCCGCCGGCGCUCCGACUCCCCGGCUCCGUGGAUGCCCGAUUCGGUCGGGGAAACCCUAGCAGCGGCAGAUCUUGGGCGCGCUUUCUCUCUCCGGGCGUGUGGAUGCCCGAUUCGGCCGGGACCGCAGAGCUGGAGGACCGGCUCAGGGAUGUCAGGGAGCGCCUACACGCGCCGCCCGACGAUGCCGAGGACCUGCUCAAGCUCCUCAACGUGAGCCUGCUCUCUUCGCCCUGCGCCUGUUCUUAUCUCGUUUCAUUUAUUACGAUACAUCGCGUUUGCCUGUGUGGUCUCGGCUUGGUGAAUCGUAGGCUCGUCUGUAUGAGUGGGAACGCGGGUGGAUUUUGCGCUCUUACCUUUUGGACGAUUGCUUGGAUCGCGGAUGGAAUGCUGUCGGGCUGGUGAUUCGAUUUAGCUUGAGGGAGCUCAUUGAGCAGUAUCAUCAUGCUACUAACAGCCACUUUGAGGAGAUAAACCACGAUCAGAACACCUUUGAAGACCAUGCUAAUCAUACAUCAAUGGACAGGAGCACAUCUUGGAAGACCAGACACCUUCCUGUACCGCAUGAGCAAAGGGAGGAUGGGGUGAGCCGAUGCCAUUCUACAGGUGGGCGCGGGACGGCCCGACCCGGCGCAGCCUCACGCGGCGACGCCUCCACUGCCCCAACAGCAAGCAGGAAGCAGCCGGCGGCCAAGCCCCAGCAGCAACCAGUGGUCACCUCCGAGGUGAGGUCCCUUUGUAUGUGUUUCAGCUAAAUCAAAGGGACCUGCACUUGAAUCUUAAAUACCUGUGUGAAUUUGAGAGCUGCUAAUGUCAGUUGGCAUCUACAAAGUAUAACAUAUAUAAGUGUUUCCGAAUGAUCGACUCAGUUGCUUAUCGAAGAUAUAUAUAUUAGUACUGUCAUAUGACUCAAGUUGUGCAUCUAAGAUAUUUAUUAGUACGGACCGAGCUUGGGUCAUGGACUCUUGUGUGGA
Panicum virgatum (switchgrass) is the source of this 1104-nucleotide long non-coding RNA. RefSeq lists it as uncharacterized. The transcript has 4 exons. Lineage: Eukaryota; Viridiplantae; Streptophyta; Magnoliopsida; Poales; Poaceae. The record is from RefSeq and is a predicted model, not a curated record.